ACGGAAGGCAGCAGUGGGGAAUAUUGCGCAAUGGGCGGAAGCCUGACGCAGCGACGCCGCGUGGGGGAUGACGGCCUUCGGGUUGUAAACCUCUUUCGCCACCGACGAAGCGUUUUGUGACGGUAGGUGGAGAAGAAGCACCGGCCAACUACGUGCCAGCAGCCGCGGUAACACGUAGGGUGCGAGCGUUGUCCGGAAUUAUUGGGCGUAAAGAGCUCGUAGGCGGUGUGUCGCGUCGGCCGUGAAAACUUGCAGCUUAACUGUGGGCGUGCGGUCGAUACGGGCAUCACUGGAGUUCGGCAGGGGAGACUGGAAUUCCUGGUGUAGCGGUGAAAUGCGCAGAUAUCAGGAGGAACACCGGUGGCGAAGGCGGGUCUCUGGGCCGAUACUGACGCUGAGGAGCGAAAGCGUGGGGAGCGAACAGGAUUAGAUACCCUGGUA
RNAcentral lists this ribosomal RNA (441 nucleotides) under uncultured Pseudonocardia sp. RNAcentral's name for it is "bacterial SSU rRNA". It matches the Rfam family "Bacterial small subunit ribosomal RNA", at positions 341 to 792 of the family's 1533-position model. Lineage: Bacteria; Bacillati; Actinomycetota; Actinomycetes; Pseudonocardiales; Pseudonocardiaceae. The record is from RNAcentral.